CCGAGUUGAUCUGAUCGGCAGUGUAAACCUAGCUUGAUUACCGAGUUGAUUUGAUCGGUAGUGUUAACCUAGCUUGCUUAAAGCUAGGUUCACACUGCCGAUCAGAUCAACUCAAU
Molecule: small RNA, 116 nt
Filed under: Mytilus galloprovincialis (Mediterranean mussel)
Lineage: Eukaryota; Metazoa; Mollusca; Bivalvia; Mytilida; Mytilidae
Source: RNAcentral